RNAcentral lists this ribosomal RNA (139 nucleotides) under uncultured eukaryote. RNAcentral's name for it is "partial 18S ribosomal RNA". It matches the Rfam family "Eukaryotic small subunit ribosomal RNA", at positions 1299 to 1458 of the family's 1831-position model. The record is from RNAcentral.
UGGUGGAGUGAUUUGUCUGGUUAAUUCCGAUAACGAACGAGACCUUAACCUGCUAAAUAGUCACGCGAACUAACGUUCGAUGGACGACUUCUUAGAGGGACUUUCGGCGACUAGCCGAAGGAAGUUUGAGGCAAUAACA